RNAcentral lists this ribosomal RNA (484 nucleotides) under uncultured bacterium. RNAcentral describes it as "partial 16S ribosomal RNA". It matches the Rfam family "Bacterial small subunit ribosomal RNA", at positions 30 to 507 of the family's 1533-position model. The record is from RNAcentral.
AUUGAACGCUGGCGGAAUGCUUUACACAUGCAAGUCGAACGAUGAACCUUAGCUUGCUAGGGGGAUUAGUGGCGAACGGGUGAGUAAUAUAUCGGAACGUGCCUUGUUAUGGGGGAUAACUAGUCGAAAGAUUAGCUAAUACCGCAUACGCCCUGAGGGGGAAAGUAGGGGAGCUUCGGACCUUACGUUCUAAGGGGGGCCGAUGUCCGAUUAGCUAGUUGGUGGGGUAAUGGCCUACCAAGGCGACGAUCAGUAGCUGGUCUGAGAGGACGACCAGCCACACUGGAACUGAGACACGGUCCAGACUCCUACGGGAGGCAGCAGUGGGGAAUUUUGGACAAUGGGCGCAAGCCUGAUCCAGCCAUUCCGCGUGAGUGAAGAAGGCCUUCGGGUUGUAAAGCUCUUUCGCAAGGGAAGAAAACUUACCAUCGAAUAAAUGGUGAGGCUGACGGUACCUUGAUAAGAAGCACCGGCUAACUACGUG